This 253-nucleotide ribosomal RNA is filed under the name uncultured bacterium. Its description in RNAcentral is "partial 16S ribosomal RNA". It matches the Rfam family "Bacterial small subunit ribosomal RNA", at positions 524 to 776 of the family's 1533-position model. The record is from RNAcentral.
UACAGAGGUGGCAAGCAUUGUUCGGAAUUACUGGGCGUAAAGGGCGCGUAGGCGGCCAUCUAAGUCAGACGUGAAAUCCCCCGGCUUAACCGGGGAACUGCGUCUGAUACUGGUUGGCUUGAAUUCGGGAGAGGGAUGUGGAAUUCCAGGUGUAGCGGUGAAAUGCGUAGAUAUCUGGAGGAACACCGGUGGCGAAGGCGGCAUCCUGGACCGACACUGACGCUGAGGAGCGAAAGCCAGGGGAGCAAACGGG